AAACAAUAUAAUUAUAUUUCAAUUAAAUUGAUAUCCUUUGAACAGAAUGCCUCUAUUAGCAACACUCACUAACGUUUACCGUCGCUGGACUCAUUCACAAAAACAACGUGGUUCCAAAAAGGAGGUAGAAAUUUCGUUAGCUGUACUAGGUGUUAUCUUCAUUACUGACGUGUUUUACUAUCUGUGCGUUGAACGCAGAAAUAAGUAAAAGACAGCCUUCAAUAAAGGAACUCAUUAUGCAGUAAUGAAAUUUUAAAACA
Molecule: long non-coding RNA, 260 nt
Organism: Teleopsis dalmanni
Lineage: Eukaryota; Metazoa; Arthropoda; Insecta; Diptera; Diopsidae
Exons: 2
Source: RefSeq, a predicted model, not a curated record